This 316-nucleotide long non-coding RNA is filed under the name Mus musculus (house mouse). RNAcentral describes it as "long non-coding RNA chr8:9628101-9628417". The record is from RNAcentral. Lineage: Eukaryota; Metazoa; Chordata; Mammalia; Rodentia; Muridae.
UUCACUUGUGCCUCUGUAACCAGAGCAGCAGCGCCAAUUCUACGGUGGACUUGGAUAAACUGAGUUUCUGGAGAAAGUAGAAUAUUUCUAGGGUAAACAAACCGGGAGAAACAUGUUCACCAACAGCUGCAUGAGAUCCCAAUUGUCCUUGCAGGCAAGCUGCUCCUCCAGCAAAGGUUUUUCUCCUCCUGUCUUUCUCAUAAUGGGGGCCAGGGAUGAUUAGAGAUACCCGUACUCGUUCUGACGGCUCCACAUCAUUGUGCUGACCUGGGCAGGGGUGGUGGGGAGUCUGUUCAUCAUAAACGUCCCAUGGAAC